UGGGGAAUUUUGGACAAUGGGCGCAAGCCUGAUCCAGCAAUGCCGCGUGCAGGAUGAAGGCCUUCGGGUUGUAAACUGCUUUUGUACGGAACGAAACGGCUCUGUCUAAUACAUGGGGCUAAUGACGGUACCGUAAGAAUAAGCACCGGCUAACUACGUGCCAGCAGCCGCGGUAAUACGUAGGGUGCAAGCGUUAAUCGGAAUUACUGGGCGUAAAGCGUGCGCAGGCGGUGAUGUAAGACAGGUGUGAAAUCCCCGGGCUUAACCUGGGAAUUGCAUUUGUGACUGCAUCGCUGGAGUGCGGCAGAGGGGGAUGGAAUUCCGCGUGUAGCAGUGAAAUGCGUAGAUAUUAGGAAGAACACAAGAGGCGAAGGCGGCUUUCUGGAUCAUAUCUGACGCUGAGGCGCGAAAGCGUGGGGAGCAAACA
Molecule: ribosomal RNA, 427 nt
Filed under: uncultured bacterium
Lineage: Bacteria
Description: bacterial SSU rRNA
Rfam family: Bacterial small subunit ribosomal RNA
Source: RNAcentral